This 526-nucleotide ribosomal RNA is filed under the name Microdesmes sp. NLG. RNAcentral describes it as "partial 16S ribosomal RNA". It matches the Rfam family "Archaeal large subunit ribosomal RNA", at positions 1957 to 2679 of the family's 2987-position model. Lineage: Eukaryota; Metazoa; Arthropoda; Insecta; Coleoptera; Elateridae. The record is from RNAcentral.
CAUGUCUUUUUGAUUAUAAUUUAAGGUUUAAUCUGCUCAAUGAGGAUUUAAAUUGCCGCGGUAUUUUGACCGUGCAAAGGUAGCAUAAUAAUUAGUUUCUUUAUUGGAAGCUGGAAUGAAUGAUUGGACGAGAAAAUUACUGUCUCUUUCGAAUUAAUUUUUUAAAUUAACUUUUAAGUAAAAAGGCUUAAAUAUAUUUUAAAGACGAGAAGACCCUAUAGAGUUUGAUAUUAAAGAAAUUUCAGGUGUUUUUGGUUAUUUAUUAACUGGAGUUUUAUUUAUUAUUUGGUUGGGGUGACUUAAAGAUUUAAUAAACUCUUUAAAAUUUUUAUCAAUGAUUUUUGAAUUUAGAAUCUAAUUUUUUUAAAGUUAAGAUAAAUUACCUUAGGGAUAACAGCGUAAUUUCUUUUUAGAGUUCUUAUUGAGAAAGAAGUUUGCGACCUCGAUGUUGGAUUAAAAUUAAUUUCUGGUGCAGAAGCUGGAAAAUUGGGUCUGUUCGACCUUUGAAAUUUUACAUGAUCUGAGU